CCCUCCUGGCAAUGGGCAAAGAGACACCUCGCUGAUGGUGUUCUUAUAUCAGUUAGGGACAGAGCAGAUGGUAGUCCUUUGGUCAUCCUAGCUUGAUGCCUGGCUUGGCAACCAAGGCUGUUUUAUGUCUAGGACUUAUAA
Molecule: small nucleolar RNA, 141 nt
Organism: Mastomys coucha (southern multimammate mouse)
Lineage: Eukaryota; Metazoa; Chordata; Mammalia; Rodentia; Muridae
Product: small nucleolar RNA SNORA48
Exons: 1
Source: RefSeq, a predicted model, not a curated record